GUAAAGCUCCAGCGGUUAAAGAUGGGCAUGCGUGACAUUAGCUGGAUGGUAGGGUAACGGCCUACCAUGGCUACGAUGUCUAGGGGUUCUGAGAGGAUUACCCCCCACACUGGUACUGAGACACGGACCAGACUCCUACGGGAGGCAGCAGUGAGGAAUAUUGGUCAAUGGGCGCAAGCCUGAACCAGCCAUCCCGCGUGAAGGAUGAAGGCCCUAUGGGUUGUAAACUGCUUUUAUACACCAAGAAAAAACUCCAACGAGUUGGGAUUUGCCGGUAAGGUAUGAAUAAGCAUCGGCUAACUCCGUGCCAGCAGCCGCGGUAAUACGGAGGAUGCAAGCGUUAUCCGGAUUCAUUGGGUUUAAAGGGUGCGCAGGUGGGAAAAUAAGUCAGUGGUGAAAUACUGCCGCUUAACGGUAGAAUUGCCAUUGAUACUGUUUUUCUUGAGUAUGGUUGAGGUAGGUGGAAUGUGUUGUGUAGCGGUGAAAUGCAUAGAUAUGACACAGAACGCCGAUUGCGAAGGCAGCUUACUAAGCCAUUACUGACGCUGAGGCACGAAAGCGUGGGGAUCGAACAGGAUUAGAUACCCUGGUAGUCCACGCCGUAAACGAUGAGUGCUAGGUGUCGGGGGUAUCGACCCCUUCAGUGAGCGAAAGCAUUAAGUGAUCCACCUGGGGAGUACGAUCGCAAGGUUGAAACUCAAAGGAAUUGACGGGGGCCCGCACAAGCGGUGGAGCAUGUGGUUUAAUUCGACGCAACGCGAAGAACCUUACCAGGGCUUGACAUCCUCUGACAACCCAAGAGAUUGGGCUUUCUAGCUUCGGUUAGACAGAGAGACAGGUGGUGCAUGGUUGUCGUCAGCUCGUGUCGUGAGAUGUUGGGUUAAGUCCCGCAACGAGCGCAACCCUUAUUCUUAGUUGCCAGAAGUAAUGUUGGGCACUCUAGGGAGACUGCCGGUGAUAAACCGGAGGAAGGUGGGGAUGACGUCAAAUCAUCAUGCCCUUUAUGACCUGGGCUACACACGUGCUACAAUGGCCUGUACAAAGGGUAGCGAAGCCGCGAGGUGAAGCCAAUCCCAAAAAGCAGGUCUCAGUUCGGAUUGUAGGCUGCAACUCGCCUACAUGAAGUCGGAAUCGCUAGUAAUCGUGGAUCAGCAUGCCGCGGUGAA
Molecule: ribosomal RNA, 1166 nt
Filed under: uncultured bacterium
Lineage: Bacteria
Description: bacterial SSU rRNA
Rfam family: Bacterial small subunit ribosomal RNA
Source: RNAcentral